ACCUACGGGGGGCAGCAGUGAGGAAUAUUGGUCAAUGGGAGAGAUCCUGAACCAGCCAAGCCGCGUGAGGGAAGACGGCCCUAUAGGUUGUAAACCUCUUUUGUCGGAGAACAAAACCCGGGACGUGUCCCGGCCCGGAGAGUACCCGGAGAAAAAGCAUCGGCUAACUCCGUGCCAGCAGCCGCGGUAAUACGGAGGAUGCGAGCGUUAUCCGGAUUUAUUGGGUUUAAAGGGUGCGUAGGCGGGCUUUUAAGUCAGCGGUAAAAAUUCGGGGCUCAACCCCGUCCGGCCGUUGAAACUGGGGG
Molecule: ribosomal RNA, 305 nt
Filed under: uncultured bacterium
Lineage: Bacteria
Description: bacterial SSU rRNA
Rfam family: Bacterial small subunit ribosomal RNA
Source: RNAcentral